This is a non-coding RNA of Odocoileus virginianus texanus, 442 nucleotides long. NCBI's taxonomy places the organism in Eukaryota, Metazoa, Chordata, Mammalia, Artiodactyla, Cervidae. The record is from RefSeq and is a predicted model, not a curated record.
GUGUGUCUAAUUUUGUGUCAUUUCUUUAGAUCAUUCUAUUCUUCUGAAACUGAACGAGACUUCACUAUGGACUUUCUACUGGCCAUAGAAUUUUUUGAGGCCAUAUUAUAUCGCCCAUACUUUGAAAGUUCAGCAGAAUUCCUAGUGGGUUUCCCACACAGGCUACUCACAGAUCAGGAUCGUAAUGUUCUCAUGAGUAACUUCAGCAGACAGGAAAAAGCAUUUUUGACUGCAGUCAAACUCGUUCAAGAAAUAAAUAAAAGCACAGGAGGCUUAUUUUUAGCAAUUUGGAAGAAGCUCAUGACUUCAAAAUUUGCUCGGGCUGUGGCACGUUUCUUUGCUAAAAGGCUACUCUUAAUACCAAUUUAGUAGCCUAAAUUUAUGCUAUUACAUGUUGAUCAAUUUCAUUCUGUGAAUAAAAGCAAUCAAAUGUUAUAAUGAC